This is a long non-coding RNA of Monodelphis domestica (gray short-tailed opossum), 2088 nucleotides long. The record is from Ensembl. Lineage: Eukaryota; Metazoa; Chordata; Mammalia; Didelphimorphia; Didelphidae.
UGCUCCCCCUAGGCUAGCUCUCAGCUCCGCCGCCCUCUGGGGAAUGCGAGGGUGGGGUGGCGCGCUGUCCGUGGUACUGAAGCCCGGCCGCUGUCCGUGGUGUCAGAACCGGCCUGGAACUGGAGUUGGAGCUGGAGAUGGAGAUGGAGAUGGAGAUGGAGAAGAUGGAGAUGGAGCAGGAGUCUCUGGCUGCUGCUGCAGCUGUCUCCUCGUUUACUGCUCACUACCAACAGCCACUCCAGAUAAGGGAAGGGUCUCUACCCUUGAGAUGGAGCCCCCGACACUGUUAGUCCCGGGACUCCAGGACUCCUGUCUAGGAAAGUGGGUCUCUGUUGGGCCCUGGUGGGAAUCUGCUUCUCCUCCUUCUCUGGUGCGGGAUCAGGAAAGGAAGGGGAAAUGGGGCUUGUUCCCCUGGGCUUCAACUAUUACCUGCUUCUCCAUCUCACUGCUUCAGAACCAAGCCUUUAUCCUGUCUCUUGCCUGGCUCUGAAGAAGAAAAGCAGGCCAGAUCAGGAAGAUGGAAUCAAAAGCCAAAGACAGAAGAUGAGCAAGGACAAGUGAAUAAUGAUUCAGAGGCACAAGCAUUCUGGGCACAAAGGGAUGGAAAAGAAGGUUAGUCCCCUUAAACAAAAUGUCCAGAGGCAGUGGAGUAUUCUAUGAUGUAGUAUAAAGGAUGGUGGAUCUGAAUUCCAAGAACCCUAAGUUUAAAUUCUGCCUCUGCCACCUAAAAAUAGCUAUAUGAUUCUAAGCAAGUCUCUGAGCUUCAUUUUUUUCUCCUCGGUAAACCUGGGGGAUGAACUAACAAUACCUAAUUUACAGAAUUAUUGUAAAGAUUAGAUAGUGCACUCAAAGGGUUUUACAAACCUUUAAGUAUAUAAUAUUAACUUUUAUGAUUAUCUUACUUUUAACCAGUUUAAUUUAUGAGUCAUAAUGUGCCUCUACUGUCUCCUUUUCUCCUAUCUUUCCAAUUUUUUCCUUAAAUUACAUUUUACCCUCUAGGUACAUUGUUUCUUGAGGGCUGACACUUUCAUUUUUGCAUCUCCAGCACAUAGCACUCUAUACACACUGGAUGCUUAAUGUUUAAUUUCAUUGGAUCUAGCUAGUUGCCCAAUUUUACAGAUGAGGAAAUUGAGGCCAGAGGUGGCUUGCUUAAAUACACAGCAAAAUAGACCCAGGACUAAACCCCAAUUUCCUCAUUCCCAGUCCAAUUCCAAUUUUUCUCUUAAAAAUUUUUCCCUCAAUUUACAAGCAUUUAAUUUCUUUCCUCCUGUUCCUAAUUCCAAUUCACUAUCCAUUUCACUAUGCUGAUGGGAAGAAAAGAAAGCACUAAUUUGUUAAUACUAUCUUCCCAUUACUUUGUACUUAAAAUUGUGAUUUUUUUUUUUAACACAUGGGUGUGUUUUGUUUCCCUACAGUGAAAUUUAAGCUCCUGGAGAGAAGGCACUUUUUUCAAAUUUGUGUUUCUGUAUCACAGGCACUGAACACUGGGCCUGGCACAUAGUGGGUUCUUAAUUAGUGCUUGUUGGAUUUAGUUGGACUGGCAUUAGUAUUGGGGGGUAGGGAUUUGGGACUGGUGUAUUCCUUCCUUUAACAAGCACUGAUUACUAUGUGCUAGGUACUGUGCAAAGUGCCACGGCCUAGUCUGGGCCGCCAGAGGUGAAACCCUAGGACAAUUACUAAACAUAUCCCACGAAACAGAAUGGUCCUUCCCUACUGCUUGGGGGGCCACCAGCUGUCGUUUCAGAGGGCAAGCCAUGCGCUUUGUCUUUCGCAAUAGCGACACCUAGCGAAUGGGUGGUGGUGCUGCCGCCUAGUCGCAGUCCUACUAGAGGACCAGUUUGGCUCUUUAGGACCAGAUGGCGUUUACCACUUGACCUCAGGUCAGGGGACGUGAUGCGGCUGGAUGAUUCUUGGGUCUGACGCCUUCCACCUUCUUGCCCAUGCCAGGUUGAAGGAAGGUCAGCAUCCCUGGCCUUCGCGAGCCACUUAAAAGCACAAGGAGCAAUUAGUUCUUGGCAAAGGAACAAGCCCCUUCUCCCCUCUCCCUCCCAAAAUAAAUACAAUAGGGCCUGGAAAUGGGGGGAGGAG